CCACGAGCCCAGCCCAGCUGGCGCUGUGCUCAAACCAGUGAGCAAAUGAGCUGACUUGUGUCCAAAAUAGUCUUCCUGAGUUUCCAUCAUUGGUCCUGGAAAGGCAGCUGGGCUGGCACCCAGGCAGUGCUGUGGGCGGCCCCUUAGAUGGCGGGUGGCUGAUGUUCGCAAUGCUCGGAAGGCAGUGGAGUGAGUCUGAGAACGUCCAAGAACGGACAACACUGGUCCCUGUGCCCACCCGGAAGCUGGAGCCACUGGAAUGUGUUUAUGUCCACAGGACGGCACCACCUGACACAGAGACGCAUCUGAAGUGGGUGGGGCCCUCACGUGUCGCUGGAGAAGGCUAUGAGAAUGAGAAAUAGAGUCCUUUGAAGUCAACAGUAAAGAGAAGCAUCAAUUGGAGCCCACACCGCACUCUUCUUAUACAAAAAGCCCCCAGUUGUAUAUUACUCUGCAUCUGGCUGUUUUCCUGGAACCAUGUUUCCUACAGGCUGGCCCUGAACUGCGCGCCCCGCCCUCCGCUGGCCGCUUGGCACACACGGCCGGUCCUCCAGCUGCUCCUCGCGUCAAGGACAUCAAUGGCUCACACAGGCCUCCUGAAAAGCAUGUCCUUUGCCAGCAACCCCAGGACAGACCCCUCGGCUGUCCCCAAGGCAACAGACUGCAAAAGGUGCCCACCUGGCCGCCGGCGUUGCGACCCUGGCCUUCCCUCCCGGCUCCUUGCCCCUGCCGCUGCCUCCUCUAAUUAGCUGGACAGGCUCUCCCAUCCGCUCCCGGCCGCCUGUCUCGCUUCGGCCGGCACGCACGGUCCCGGUUAAAUUGGCUGUGGCAGGCCGUAAUAAAGAAGAAAACAGCGGCUGCAUCAGGCUGUUCCGAGGAGCCGCCGAUGCUCACGCGGGAAGGGUCGGGAAAGGAGCCAUUCAAUUAAGGUCGUACGGCCGCUCGGCGGCUCCAGGCCUGAGCUGCGCAUCUCGGAGCUUCGGAGAUGACUGACCGAGAGUUUCCUCAGGUCCUGUCUCCCACAAGGCUGUCCGUCUGCUCUUGUCCUGCGAGGGCUGGUCUGAAAGCUGCCCCAGGCAGGGGUCCUCAAAGUUCAGUUCUGCAAAUGUUUAACGCGCGCCCAGCUCUGUGCCGAGGGUCCAAAGAUGACACCCCUGCCCCCAAGGGGCCCCCAGUCCAGCAAAGGAGACGGAGACAGACAGUUCCAGACGGUGCUCGCGAGUCCCAAUUCCCAGAUACAAAACCAGCAGCUAAUUUCACCCACAAAAAUGCAAUAAAAUAGCAAAAAAACGUAGGCAGCCUCUGGAGCCAUUAAUGAUUCUAUCAAUACAGACUUAAAGUAACCGGAAAGGCGGUUUUCUGGGUACCGAACGUCUGUUCCUACCUUCCCCUGCUCUGGCUCUCCGCCCUGGGUGGGCUUCUGCGGGGCCAUUUUUCACAAAGGAAGCCAAAAGGCACACACACGAGUGUGACACCCAGAGAGCCUCUGCGGACAGUGAAGGAGGUGUAGACGUUGGGAGUUAGUGUACAGAUCCCUGCUCCAGCCCGGCGGCUGUGUGACGGAGGCCCCUCAACCGACCUGGAGGCGCGUGGGUUCCACAGCCGUAGAAGGGGGGUUGAAUGGGACCCACACUUGGAUCACCUUGAGGAACACCCAAGCCAGCCUUGGGAACGCACCAAGGCAGGGAGGCCACACACAGGCUGGGGCCAGACGCCUCGGAGUGGGCAUGGCAG
Long non-coding RNA from Equus caballus (horse), 1734 nucleotides. NCBI's taxonomy places the organism in Eukaryota, Metazoa, Chordata, Mammalia, Perissodactyla, Equidae. The record is from Ensembl.